AUUCUAAUAGUUUAAUUAAAAAUUUAAGAUUGUGGUGCUUGAGAUAAAUUUAUUUUUAGAAUA
Molecule: transfer RNA, 63 nt
Filed under: Allacma fusca
Lineage: Eukaryota; Metazoa; Arthropoda; Collembola; Symphypleona; Sminthuridae
Description: tRNA-His
Source: RNAcentral